Molecule: long non-coding RNA, 7309 nt
Filed under: Hordeum vulgare
Lineage: Eukaryota; Viridiplantae; Streptophyta; Magnoliopsida; Poales; Poaceae
Description: long non-coding RNA (HVUL_LNC003057)
Source: RNAcentral
AGCUUCACAACAUGCUGCUUCGUAAAAAAAUAGAAUCUGAGGUACAACUUUAUGUUUUUUGUGAAGCUCUUUAGAAGGUGCUUCAGAAAAAUGUAGAAAUUGGAGUUGAAAGAAAAUUACCCACCACUAUCAUCAGUAAGUGGAUACCCCUUAUUUUUCCCCACUCAUCCAAUCUGAUAUAUCCUUUUCAUCAAAUUCUCAUUCUUAAAGCUGAAGCUAGAUAAAAGUCAAACAUUCUCUUAAAAGAAUCAGAACUUUUAUAAAAAACUGUUUCAAGGUGAAUUUAAUGGAGCGAAACUGAGCUUUAUGAAGUAGAGCAAUCCCAAAUAUGCCUUAACACCGCGGCAAGACUUAUAGAACGGAUGGAGUAUCUUUUAAGUAGUUGAUCGCAGGACCUCCAAGUUUUUCAUUUUUGAGGAAAACGGCUCCUUCACAAUACCUGCCCAAUAAAGAAGACAAAUUAGAGUGCAGAGUUUUGGACUCAGGCGGCGCAGUGAGCUCUUUAUUCAUGAAAAAAUAAAAGUUGUAUUGACACGUUCCAGAAAAUUCCAAGAUAAAUGUCAAUGUGCCACGUCGAAAUAUAUGAAAAUCCUUUAAAAUUUCUUGAAACAUUUUAUUAAUAAAUGGGUUGUACAAAAAAGACAAAUAUGGCGAUCAAUAAUACUACCAAAUAGUAGUGCUGAUCAAACAUUUUGUUUCUGUGUAGCUUUACAUAUAAAUGCAUGUCAAUGAAACUCUGCAACUUUGUAGUAUGAUUCCACAUAUAUAAAUGUUGGAUUCUGUUAAAGAAAAUACUAUACAAGAUAAGGGAUUUUUUAAGAACCGUGGUUUCUGGGCCUCCGUCUUAGAUGCUUUCCAUUUUGGAAUGGACUGUCUCAGGAUAGGUGCGAGUAGUGUCGUUUAGUAUGUUGUUUAGGAGCUUAGAUCAUCUUGAUGAUGCAAAUUUAAAGUUGUAAAACUUAAAAAUGUAAAAUUUACAUUAAAANNNNNNNNNNNNNNNNNNNNNNNNNNNNNNNNNNNNNNNNNNNNNNNNNNNNNNNNNNNNNNNNNNNNNNNNNNNNNNNNNNNNNNNNNNNNNNNNNNNNNNNNNNNNNNNNNNNNNNNNNNNNNNNNNNNNNNNNNNNNNNNNNNNNNNNNNNNNNNNNNNNNNNNNNNNNNNNNNNNNNNNNNNNNNNNNNNNNNNNNNNNNNNNNNNNNNNNNNNNNNNNNNNNNNNNNNNNNNNNNNNNNNNNNNNNNNNNNNNNNNNNNNNNNNCUUUUACAUCUUUUAAAAAGAGGCAACUCCAAAAGAUGAUGUAUAUUGAAGAUGUAAAAGUGCAACUCCAAUAGAUAAUGUAUUUGAAGAUGCAAACUAGUCGGCAUUAGCGUCGGCGGCCAAGCGCCAAAACUCGGGAGGGGCCCCAAUGGACCGAUUGGUUGCAGCAGGUGCGCCGAUGGCCGAGCGACGAGAGCCGGGAGGUCAAAUGCAGCGGCGGGAGCUCGAAUGGUCGGCGGCAUGGCUGUGAACGAUGGACGUAUUGGUCGCGGCGAGGCGGCGGCCAUGGGGUGCGAGAAUGUCGAGUCUAGCAGCGAAAAAGGGACAGCGGCAUGGCGGCAGGUGUGCGGCUCGAAUCCGGCUGCGGCACACGGUGGGGGGAGCUCAAAUCAUGCAACGACGCGAAGGUGAUUCAGCGGCAGAGAAAUUGCACAUUCGACUGAUUUGGAGGUUGGCGGCGAUGUAGCGUCAGAACAGGCGAUGGGGGCGAUGGAGCGGCCGGAUCUGGCAGCAGGGAGGUGAUGACAUGGUGUGGUGGGUGAGCGGCGCGACGGCGGGAGUGCGGCGGGGGAAGCUCAAAUCGGCGAUCCUCGACGGCUAUGGCAGUGCGACGGGCAACGGGGAUGGGCGGCGGGUCACGAAGGGGAUGGGGAUGGACGGGUGGUGGCGGCAACGUUUUCGGCCAGAAAUUCACCGGCGACGGGGCCGGGCGGACAGAAGCCAAAUGAAGGUGGUCGACAGUUGGCGCGCGACCGCUAGUUUUACAUCUCCAGUAGGUGAAGAUGUAUAUUUGCAUCUCGAGAUGUUGCAUUUUACAUCUUCAAAAUGUGGAGAUGUAAUUUUUUUCAUCUACAUCAUCUGUUGGAGGUGGGUUUUGGGGCCUCAUUGAUACAAAAAAUAAAAUCACGAGGACAACUAUGCCGAAGCUGGUGAGGUAGAGGCUAGGAAUGGUUACGGAGCGUGCGAGACGGACAACGUGGAGGGGGAAGAAGAGAGGAAAGAGCAAAUGGAUGUGAUAGUUCUGGUUAUAGAUUUGGUGAAAUUUGAGAUAGAGUCUGUUGGGUCUGACGUGACGGAUGUGCCCGGGCGCCCCAUAUCCAUCCCAUAUUUGGGCUGGAUACGAGGAGUGUCGGUUAGCCCGGGCGUUUGAGGUUCGUUUAAGACGCUCGGUUUGUCCAAAAUUUCAUGACCUGUUAGUGAUCGGCCUGCCUGUUUGGACGUACGAGGUGAAUUUGGGACGCUCGACUGUAGAUGCUCUUAGUCUGCAUCUUCACUAAGUGUACUAUUCCUCUACGUAUUCACAGAUAAAUGACCAUGUCCUGUAAAAUAAAAUACAUAUUUCAUUAUUACUAUUAAUCAGGCGACCCAUGGGCGUUGACCUUAUGCCCAUACCCUACCCAUGACUAAUUAAGUUACUCAUCAAGCUUAACCACGGGUCAAGAGUGACGAACCACGGAUAAAGAGUAACGACCGACCAUGGGCAUUGACCUUAUGCACAUACCCUACACGUUCGGGUCAGGUGUCCAUUGGCGCGGCCGGCCAUGGGUCGAAUUGCCGGGUUGACAUGCCGGACAACAUCAAUUAGUGGAGCCCCGUUCCAUUGUUCUAUUGAACUUUUCUCUUGAAUACAAUCAUUCAAAGUUUCAAAAUAUAGAGAUAAAUGGAAACCGAGAUCCCAAAGCAAUUGCCGGACAUGGACAAAUAAUCUGUUUCACUGAAUGGGAUAUUAUUGUUUCAAAGCGGGUAUCAUUUCUCAUUUUGCAAAGGGCCCAGAAUAAGGCUUGCAAGCCCUAGAGAUUUGAAUAUAACCAUUGCCAAGGCGAUGAACCCAUCUGAAAUACUUUAAACAACUACUUUCCCCAGUUUUCCAACUUGGACAUCCAUUCCAAAAUAACUAAAAUCACGACACUUAUUUUGAAACAUAGGGAGUAGAAGUCUAGAGCUUUACCAUAAUCUUGUCAGGAUAAGUUUCCAUGGUCCCAAAUUUCACAAUUGUCACUCUGAUUUAGACACAUCAUGUCUUCACUUUUGUUGAUUCUAUGUUGCCAUUCUGUAUGUACUUCAGAAUGUUCAGCCGCAGCAACAGGAUGGAUUACCAAUUGUUCUUCCGCACGAGAGGUGCUUUCAAGUCUCUUAGCUGGAAUGGGCAUAUCUCGCUCAUAUGCUUCUUCAAUGUUUUUAUGGGCAUUCUUCUUAUAUGGGGCACUGCUACAAUAAUAGUGAUAGUGACUUUGUCAGUAAUGGGACUACUUGUGAUUGGUUCAAUUCUAUGCCCAGAAGCUGCAAUUCCACCCAUGUUACGCGGCAUGAUCUCAUUAUGGAGCCCAAUGGUUGCAAUCCUACUGCUUUGUCCCAUUAUAUGGUACUCCUAUAAGUUGAAAGAAAGACAUGACUCACUUGCCAAGUGCAUAGUGUACUUGGUACUGUUUGUGACAGUGCUCCUAUUCACAAUCAGCAGGCUGAGGUUCCCAAGAAUCAUCAAAUUAGCAGACUGGGUUCUUGGCAAUAAAAUAGCAUUUUGGCAACGAAUUGUUCUGAACUUGUGCAUGUUUGCUGCGACAGUGAUGUCCGUGUUUAAUUAUAACGGAGUAGAUAUAUAUGCGCUCAUCAUAAAGGACAUACUUGUUCUAGUGAUAACUUCAUUUGGUAACCUCCAAAUUCCGGCAGCAGUAUUCCGAAUUGGGCUGGCACUGUGGCGCCUUAUAGUUAUACAAACAGAUUAUAAUGAUCAGAAAAACCAUGAGAACACGGAAAACCUUCUGUCAUCUCUCUACAUCUUUUAUGCGAUGGUGCUUGGCCAAGGGAUAAUCUAUAUUGUUGCCGGCAUCUUUGAAAUCUUUUCAUUCAUCCUACGAAGAUCACUCAUCUGUCAUGCUGGAUUUGGAGGACCCUCGGGAGUGAAAUAUGUCAAUUUGUACUACGCAUAUGCCUUCGACAGAUGCAUGGAAGGUGCUGUGCUUGGCCCAAAGAAGACCAGCCUUAUCAUAUUUGCAAUGGAUUCUUUAAAGUCAAACUCUCCCAAGAUGCAACUAUAUGGUCUUAAGAUGCUUCACAGCUUUCUAAAAAAGGAGCCCCUAAGGACUAUGGCCAUAUUAGAACUCACCACUUAUACAAAGACAGUGACCUUCUUGAUCAACAUGUUGGACUGGACAAGUGAGGGGGCUAAAGAUAUUCGAUCAUUCGCCGCGAAGAUCAUGGCCGAGCUCGCUGAAAACCUCCGAGUUGUCCCUAUUCCUGGGGCAAUGCAGCUCAUAGCCUCACUUUUGGACACUGUUCAAGGACAUAAUAUAAAGAACCCUCUUUUGGACACUGGUAGUCUUGAGACAAAACAUAAUAACCUGAUUCAGCAAGUUGGCAGGAACGAACUGCCCUCCCCAAUGCUUAAAUGGUUGAAACAGAUGGCACUAUACUGUUUGAUUCCGAGAGAGGAGCCAACUAACAUGGAUGAACAAAACACCCACAUACUCAGAUGCUGGAGAAAGAUUACAAAACACUGGUCUGUUCCAGAGAAGGAGCCAUCAACCGACCAUGAUCUCCUCCCUGUACAGGGCAUGUUGAUUCUUGAAAGGCUUGCUACCUUUGAUCUAGAGAACUGUAUAGAAAUCAGCAGAGCAACUGGCCUCAUCUCAAAGAUUGUAGAGUUCACAAGCAACAGGACUGACAUGAAAAAUAUUGACGAGACACACGAGACACUGCUGAAACGUUCAUCACUGAGGCUGCUGGCAAGACUUGCAAGUACUAACGGCAAAUUUGGUGUAACUUUGCGUCAGAAGAUUACAGAACAUCUCUUCCUUUGGAGCAACCUUGCAGAGAUCUUGGAUAACAGAGGGAGCAGCCAAGAACUUAGGGAGCUUACAGCAGAACUCGUUAGAAACUUGGCCAUGGAUGGAAAUGUAAAUAACGAGAUCAGGCACAUCCCAAUGAUCAUUAGCAGGUUGAUGCAUGCAUUUCUCAGCAAGGACACAUCCGCAAGUGCAGAUUCAGAUCAGUUACUACGAAUGAACGCUGGGCAAGCACUAGCACUACUGGCAAAGGAUAGCGUCAAUAACUGUCUGGUUAUGUUAGCGGAACCAGGGUACGUCUUCAUCAAGGAACUCACAAUUAUGAUCCAUAGUGGCAGGUACAGGUACAUAGCUUCAAGCCUGUUGCAGAGUAUGUGUGUGCAUGCUCAAUCUGAGCUUGGCAACUUGGACCUAAAGGAAAUCUCCUACAUUACGAGAGAGGUGAGCGCUGCAAAUUUUGGUUAUAUGUGCAAUAUUAGAGGUGGAUAUUGUACCUUAAUAUUUACACAUGGUAUUGCAACAUUUUCUUUAGCAUUCAUUUAAGCUACCACUCUAGUAAAUAGAUGGCAACAUCAUCAAUUACCACUGAUAUAUUUCUAUACACCACACAACUAAAUAAAUACAUGGCAACGUCAUGGAUUCUACUUAACCAUGUUAGUGAAGUUUAAUCAUGGUUUACAGAGCUUAGCUAUUUCCACUACAGGUGUUGGAAGGAAUAAUGGAUGCAGAAGGUACAGAAUUGGAGGUUCUUGCUGGCCUUAGUUCACAAAUAUGUAAUGUCAUUCCAGAUGAUUUUGCACGGGAACUAGAGCAUGGUCAGAUUAAGGAAAGAUUUAUCAAGAGGCUUGUUAAUGCACUUAACUCAAAUAUGAUACCCACCUGUCAUUCUCCCGGAAUCAGGAGGGUGAUAGUUGAACAUGUCAUAUACAUGAUGGAGUGUAAUCCUGGCAACGCCAACUGUUUCAACAAAUACUGGAUGCUGGAAGCACUCCUAGUGGUGGAGCGUACAACCUCAAGAGCUGAAAAUUACAGGUUCUUCUCCGGUGAUGCGGGACUCAUGGAGCACAGCGUACCUCUAUCUGCACUUGUGGCUAGAGCAAAAGAACUGAUGGUCCGUGGGUAGCUAUGAGGCAUCAGCAGUGUCACCUGAGCAUGUAUUUAGAUGGUGCUGUACUGCUGGUCUAUACUACGACUCGUAGACAGGCUCAAUUUGCUCUGUCAUAGUAGUGACUUACUCAUUGCAAUCCAAGGAGAUCCCAUGAAUGUAGAGCUGAUAUCAAACAGUUGGUUUGUGAUGAAAAAUCAGACAUUAUGUGCCAUAAUGAGGUCAACUAAAAUAAUGGCUGUGUUACUGUUGUAAGACCAUGGAUGUAUGAAAGAUGAGGCAUCUGCUUUGCCAUUCAAUAUGAACUGUCAUGUUAGUUGCACAUUGUCAGGGUGUGAGGCUUCAACACCAGCUUAGCAUUUUAAAUCAUACUAUAAGGCUUACAUCGGGUGUUGUUUAGCACUAGUAAAUGGCCUAGUCAUUGAGUACUCAUGGAAUCAACCACUUCAGACCAGAUCCUAAACACUCACUAAGUUUGUCCUACUAAUUUCCCAAGUAGAUGGCACUGACCCUGACAAAGAACGAUGCAAUUUGAUCAUGGAUGGAGGGGGGCCUUAGCACAAUCCAUUUCAAAUAGGAACCCACUUAAUAGUACUCCCUCCAUAAGGAAAUAUAAGAGUGUUUAGAUCACUACUAGCAUCCAUGGUAAAUAUUUUGGUUUUCUCGAACACCACAAAUUUUGAAAUCUCUGCUUCCCUGAUCACAAUUGGCCAGUAAUUGAACACUACAAAGUACUCCCUCAGUAAACUAAUAUAAAAACAUUUAGAUUGCUAAAAUAGUGUUUUAAAUGCUUUUAUAUUAGUUUAUGAAGGGAGUAGUAUCUACCUACAAUGCACUUCCAGGAUUGUCUGAGCCCGGUGCUCUGGCAGCCCUCGGCCUCAGGCCGGAGAUAAAAGGGAUUAAUCGGAGAUUCAGAGGCGAGAAGGCGAGAGUGCACCUGUCAGAUCAGAAAGGGUUCAAAGCUGGGAUGCGACUUCCACACGACCCAGCGAUUCGUAUCGCUGCCAGAGAGGCUGGUGGCCCGCCGCGUCCGGCUCAUCGGCGCCGCCGUCGCUCCGCCGCUACAAAAAAAUCUGCGAGAAUGAAGCAACCUAGAGCCGUGCGCGUUAGCAAACCCUAUUUUAGCGGCACAGGCGCCGGUUUUAGUUUUUUUAAAAACCGAGCCCUG